UACAGAGGGUGCGAGCGUUAAUCGGAAUUACUGGGCGUAAAGCGUGCGUAGACGGUAGCGUAAGUCAGAUGUGAAAGCCCCGGGCUCAACCUGGGAAUUGCAUUUGAGACUGCUCUGCUCGGGUGCGGAAGAGGGAAGCGGAAUUUCCGGUGUAGCGGUGAAAUGCGUAGAUAUCGGAAGGAACACCAGUGGCGAAAGCGGCUUCCUGGUCCGACACCGACGUUCAGGCACGAAAGCGUGGGAGCAAACAGG
Molecule: ribosomal RNA, 252 nt
Filed under: uncultured bacterium
Lineage: Bacteria
Description: partial 16S ribosomal RNA
Rfam family: Bacterial small subunit ribosomal RNA
Source: RNAcentral